This 77-nucleotide transfer RNA is filed under the name Verrucomicrobiaceae bacterium. Its description in RNAcentral is "tRNA-Cys". It matches the Rfam family "tRNA". From Rfam's summary of the family: Transfer RNA (tRNA) molecules are approximately 80 nucleotides in length. Their secondary structure includes four short double-helical elements and three loops (D, anti-codon, and T loops). Further hydrogen bonds mediate the characteristic L-shaped molecular structure. tRNAs have two regions of fundamental functional importance: the anti-codon, which is responsible for specific mRNA codon recognition, and the 3' end, to which the tRNAs corresponding amino acid is attached (by aminoacyl-tRNA synthetases). tRNAs cope with the degeneracy of the genetic code in two manners: having more than one tRNA (with a specific anti-codon) for a particular amino acid; and 'wobble' base-pairing, i.e. permitting non-standard base-pairing at the 3rd anti-codon position. Lineage: Bacteria; Pseudomonadati; Verrucomicrobiota; Verrucomicrobiia; Verrucomicrobiales; Verrucomicrobiaceae. The record is from RNAcentral.
AUGGGCGUAGCGGAGAUGGCUAACGCACCAACCCGCAAGGUUGGAGAGCACAGGUUCAAGUCCUGUCGCCCAUGCCA